This 372-nucleotide ribosomal RNA is filed under the name uncultured bacterium. Its description in RNAcentral is "bacterial SSU rRNA". It matches the Rfam family "Bacterial small subunit ribosomal RNA", at positions 355 to 744 of the family's 1533-position model. The record is from RNAcentral.
UGGGGAAUAUUGCACAAUAGGCGAAAGCCUGAUGCAGCAACGCCGCGUGAGUGAUGAAGGCCUUCGGGUUGUAAAGCUCUGUCUUUUGGGACGAUAAUGACGGUACCAAAGGAGGAAGCCACGGCUAACUACGUGCCAGCAGCCGCGGUAAUACGUCGGUGGCAAGCGUUGUCCGGAUUUACUGGGCGUAAAGGAUGCGUAGGCGGAUUUUUGAGUGAGAUGUGAAAUACCCAGGCUUAACUUGGGUGCUGCAUUUCAAACUGGGGAACUAGGGUGCGGGAGAGGAGAAUGGAAUUCCUAGUGUAGCGGUGAAAUGCGUAGGGAUUAGGAAGAACACCAGUGGCGAAGGCGAUUCUCUGGCCCGUAACUGAC